CGGGAGGAGGGCUUGCCAGAGUUAUGGCUGAUUUGUCAGAGCUCUGGCAAGGUGAAGACCAUGGAUCACAAUCAUGGAAAGGAGCUGCUCCAACUCCGCGUCAGCAAGUAAACGGCCCAGGAAGCCUCUGGGAAUGAGGGCAAAGCAGCUUUGUGUCUGCCUGGGCAGGUGCUGGAAGAAAGUAGAAGAAAAAAGCUUUGGGGGCUGGAGAUCAAGACGUUCCAGGAAACGUCUGGCACAUAUCAAUGCACGUGAGGUAGGAGGCAGAGUGUGGAGGUGGUGGCGUUUCAGUUUAGUGUGCUCCAGCUCUCUCCCUCCUUCUUUCCCUCUGGAUGCCCUUUUCUCUACCCUCUCCCCCACUGCCCCCUCCUGGACCUCCAGGUGCCAAGUUAGCACCGUCGUGUUAGCCCAGCCCCUAGAGGAGGCACCUUGCCCAGGCCUGCACACCUACUUCGGGAUCGCAACCACAAAUGCCUGCAGGUGCCAGCCAGGUCAGCCACAAGAAUGAGUUGCCCAGUGAUGGCUUUAUGCUACCAUCAGUUGAAGAUCCAAGAUGGAAACCUAAAGUCCACAUUUUUCCUGCUAUGCCAAGCUACCCUUAAACAGGAAGCAAAAUUUAUGAACUUCAGAAUUAAAUUCAAAGGAUAUAGUACUUGGUGAAUUGCACAAAGGAUCACUCAAUCCUUCCAACCGAGGAGAGAAACUGUGAUUGGAAAGCUCCCUUCCCAAAGAGAUAAAAGAGAAGACAGACACACAGAGCGAGAAGGUGUUGUGAAGAACGGGGCAGAGAUUGGAGCGAUGCAGCCACAGGGCAAGGAAUGCCUGAAGCCACCAGCAGCUGGAAGAAGGAUUCUCUCCUAGAGAUUUCAGAGGGAGCAUGCUCUGCAAACACUUUGAUUUUGGACUUCUGGCCUCCAGAACUCAUCACCCCAGCAGUGACCUCUCACCCUGGAAGCAGUAUUAGUUCCAGUUGGUAGCAGUUUCCAGCCUCUUUCAAUACUCCCAGUACCAGCUCCAUCACAAGUGCUCUGAGGUACCAGCACCAGCUGGGCAGUGCUCCCUCCUCAGAAGUCUGAGUCCUAUGUCUGAGGGCCCCUUCUGCAAGCCUCUAGGGUCUGCUGACCCCAGCCCCAGAGCUGUUUGUUAGCUACUUACAGUUACUGGCUUUUGUUACCUCCUGGUUCCCUGUUUGCCUUUUCAGCCUCCCUAAUACCUGUUCAAC
Molecule: long non-coding RNA, 1222 nt
Filed under: Equus caballus (horse)
Lineage: Eukaryota; Metazoa; Chordata; Mammalia; Perissodactyla; Equidae
Description: lncRNA (ENSECAG00000034148.2)
Source: RNAcentral